This 578-nucleotide ribosomal RNA is filed under the name Semotilus atromaculatus (creek chub). RNAcentral's name for it is "partial large subunit ribosomal RNA". It matches the Rfam family "Bacterial large subunit ribosomal RNA", at positions 1816 to 2597 of the family's 2925-position model. The record is from RNAcentral. Lineage: Eukaryota; Metazoa; Chordata; Actinopteri; Cypriniformes; Leuciscidae.
CGCCUCUUGCAAUACACUAAGUAUAAGAGGUCCAGCCUGCCCAGUGACUACGGGUUCAACGGCCGCGGUAUUCUGACCGUGCAAAGGUAGCGCAAUCACUUGUCUCUUAAAUAGAGACCUGUAUGAAUGGCUAGACGAGGGCUUAACUGUCUCCCCCUUCCAGUCAGUGAAAUUGAUCUAUCCGUGCAGAAGCGGGUAUAAAUUUACAAGACGAGAAGACCCUUUGGAGCUUAAGGUACAAAAUUCAACCACGUCAAACGACUCCAUAAGAAGCAAAAACUUAGUGGCACAUGGACCUUUACCUUCGGUUGGGGCGACCAUGGAGGAAAAACGAGCCUCCCAGUGGACCGGGCCAUAACCCCUAAAGCCAAGAGAGACAUCUUUAGGCCGCAGAAUAUCUGACCAACAAUGAUCCGGCCAAUAAAGCCGAUCAACGAACCAAGUUACCCUAGGGAUAACAGCGCAAUCCUCUCCCAGAGUCCAUAUCUACGAGGGGGUUUACGACCUCGAUGUUGGAUCAGGACAUCCUAAUGGUGCAGCCGCUAUUAAGGGUUCGUUUGUUCAACGAUUAAAGUCCU